AUACGGAGGAUGCGAGCGUUAUCCGGAUUUAUUGGGUUUAAAGGGUGCGUAGGCUGUGCGUUAAGUCAGGGGUGAAAUGCCGUCGCUCAACGACGGAGCUGCCCUUGAUACUGGCGUGCUGGAGUACGGAUGCCGUUGGAGGAAUGAGUGGUGUAGCGGUGAAAUGCUUAGAUAUCACUCAGAACACCGAUUGCGAAGGCAUCUGACGAAUCCGUCACUGACGCUGAGGCACGAAAGCGUGGGGAUAGAACAGGAUUAGAUACCCUGGUAUUCCACGCCGUAAACGAUGAUGACUAACCGUCGGCGAUAGACAGCCGGUGGCCAAGCGAAAGCGAUAAGUCAUCCACCUGGGGAGUACGUCGGCAACGAUGAAACUCAAAGGAAUUGGCGGGG
RNAcentral lists this ribosomal RNA (393 nucleotides) under uncultured bacterium. RNAcentral describes it as "partial 16S ribosomal RNA". It matches the Rfam family "Bacterial small subunit ribosomal RNA", at positions 523 to 918 of the family's 1533-position model. The record is from RNAcentral.